UUUAAGUUACAGAUGUGAAAGACCCGGGGCGUCAACCUCGGAAUAGCAUUUGUAAACUAGGCAGACUAGAGUACUGUAGAGGGGGGUAGGAAUUUCAGGUGUAGCGGUGAAAAUGCGUAGAGAUCUGAAGGAAUACCGGUGGCGAAGGCGGCCCCCUCGGACAGAUACUGACACUCAGAUGCGAAAGCGUGGGGAGCAAACAGGAUUAGAUACCCUGGUAG
RNAcentral lists this ribosomal RNA (221 nucleotides) under uncultured bacterium. RNAcentral's name for it is "partial 16S ribosomal RNA". It matches the Rfam family "Bacterial small subunit ribosomal RNA", at positions 581 to 793 of the family's 1533-position model. The record is from RNAcentral.